RNAcentral lists this transfer RNA (72 nucleotides) under Marmota marmota marmota (Alpine marmot). It matches the Rfam family "tRNA". Rfam says of the family: Transfer RNA (tRNA) molecules are approximately 80 nucleotides in length. Their secondary structure includes four short double-helical elements and three loops (D, anti-codon, and T loops). Further hydrogen bonds mediate the characteristic L-shaped molecular structure. tRNAs have two regions of fundamental functional importance: the anti-codon, which is responsible for specific mRNA codon recognition, and the 3' end, to which the tRNAs corresponding amino acid is attached (by aminoacyl-tRNA synthetases). tRNAs cope with the degeneracy of the genetic code in two manners: having more than one tRNA (with a specific anti-codon) for a particular amino acid; and 'wobble' base-pairing, i.e. permitting non-standard base-pairing at the 3rd anti-codon position. RNAcentral also lists the same sequence under 1 other name. Lineage: Eukaryota; Metazoa; Chordata; Mammalia; Rodentia; Sciuridae. The record is from Rfam by way of RNAcentral.
UGGGGUGUAGCUCAGGGGUAGAGCACAAGCCUAGGGUGCACAAGGCCUUGGGUUCUAUCCCCAGCACCCAAA